AAACCAGCACCUCAAGUGGUCAGGAGGAUUAUUGGGCCUAAAGCAUCCGUAGCCUGUUCUGUAAGUUUCCGGUUAAAUCCAUUAGCUCAACUAAUGGGCCGCCGAAAAUACUGCAGAACUAGGGAGUGGGAGAGGUAGACGGUACUCGGUAGGAAGGGGUAAAAUCCUUUGAUCUAUUGAUGACCACCUGUGGCGAAGGCGGUCUACCAGAACACGUUCGACGGUGAGGGAUGAAAGCUGGGGGAGCAAACCGGAUUAGAAACCCGAGUAGUCC
This 274-nucleotide ribosomal RNA is filed under the name uncultured bacterium. Its description in RNAcentral is "partial 16S ribosomal RNA". It matches the Rfam family "Archaeal small subunit ribosomal RNA", at positions 473 to 747 of the family's 1478-position model. The record is from RNAcentral.